RNAcentral lists this transfer RNA (73 nucleotides) under Cytophagales bacterium. RNAcentral describes it as "tRNA-Lys". It matches the Rfam family "tRNA". Rfam says of the family: Transfer RNA (tRNA) molecules are approximately 80 nucleotides in length. Their secondary structure includes four short double-helical elements and three loops (D, anti-codon, and T loops). Lineage: Bacteria; Pseudomonadati; Bacteroidota; Cytophagia; Cytophagales. The record is from RNAcentral.
GGGUUUGUAGCUUAGCUGGUAGAGCACUUGACUCUUAAUCAAGGGGUCCUGAGUUCGAAUCUCAGCAAACCCA